AGAGUUUGAUCCUGGCUCAGGAUGAACGCUAGCUACAGGCUUAACACAUGCAAGUCGAGGGGCAGCAUUUUAGUUUGCUUGCAAACUAAAGAUGGCGACCGGCGCACGGGUGAGUAACACGUAUCCAACCUGCCGAUAACUCGGGGAUAGCCUUUCGAAAGAAAGAUUAAUAUCCGAUAGUAUAUUAAAACCGCAUGGUUUUACUAUUAAAGAAUUUCGGUUAUCGAUGGGGAUGCGUUCCAUUAGUUUGUUGGCGGGGUAACGGCCCACCAAGACUACGAUGGAUAGGGGUUCUGAGAGGAAGGUCCCCCACAUUGGAACUGAGACACGGUCCAAACUCCUACGGGAGGCAGCAGUGAGGAAUAUUGGUCAAUGGACGAGAGUCUGAACCAGCCAAGUAGCGUGAAGGAUGACUGCCCUAUGGGUUGUAAACUUCUUUUAUAUGGGAAUAAAGUAUUCCACGUGUGGAAUUUUGUAUGUACCAUAUGAAUAAGGAUCGGCUAACUCCGUGCCAGCAGCCGCGGUAAUACGGAGGAUCCGAGCGUUAUCCGGAUUUAUUGGGUUUAAAGGGAGCGUAGGUGGAUUGUUAAGUCAGUUGUGAAAGUUUGCGGCUCAACCGUAAAAUUGCAGUUGAAACUGGCAGUCUUGAGUACAGUAGAGGUGGGCGGAAUUCGUGGUGUAGCGGUGAAAUGCUUAGAUAUCACGAAGAACUCCGAUUGCGAAGGCAGCUCACUAGACUGCAACUGACACUGAUGCUCGAAAGUGUGGGUAUCAAACAGGAUUAGAUACCCUGGUAGUCCACACAGUAAACGAUGAAUACUCGCUGUUUGCGAUAUACAGUAAGCGGCCAAGCGAAAGCAUUAAGUAUUCCACCUGGGGAGUACGCCGGCAACGGUGAAACUCAAAGGAAUUGACGGGGGCCCGCACAAGCGGAGGAACAUGUGGUUUAAUUCGAUGAUACGCGAGGAACCUUACCCGGGCUUAAAUUGCAUUUGAAUAAUCUGGAAACAGGUUAGCCGCAAGGCAAAUGUGAAGGUGCUGCAUGGUUGUCGUCAGCUCGUGCCGUGAGGUGUCGGCUUAAGUGCCAUAACGAGCGCAACCCUUAUCUUUAGUUACUAACAGGUCAUGCUGAGGACUCUAGAGAGACUGCCGUCGUAAGAUGUGAGGAAGGUGGGGAUGACGUCAAAUCAGCACGGCCCUUACGUCCGGGGCUACACACGUGUUACAAUGGGGGGUACAGAAGGCAGCUACCUGGCGACAGGAUGCUAAUCCCAAAAACCUCUCUCAGUUCGGAUCGAAGUCUGCAACCCGACUUCGUGAAGCUGGAUUCGCUAGUAAUCGCGCAUCAGCCAUGGCGCGGUGAAUACGUUCCCGGGCCUUGUACACACCGCCCGUCAAGCCAUGAAAGCCGGGGGUACCUGAAGUACGUAACCGCAAGGAGCGUCCUAGGGUAAAACUGGUAAUUGGGGCUAAGUCGUAACAAGGUAGCCGUACCGGAAGGUGCGGCUGGAACACCU
RNAcentral lists this ribosomal RNA (1517 nucleotides) under Bacteroides sp. 3_1_13. RNAcentral's name for it is "bacterial SSU rRNA". It matches the Rfam family "Bacterial small subunit ribosomal RNA". The record is from RNAcentral. Lineage: Bacteria; Pseudomonadati; Bacteroidota; Bacteroidia; Bacteroidales; Bacteroidaceae.